GACGAACGCUGGCGGCGUGCCUAAUACAUGCAAGCAGAACGCUGAAGGAGGAGCUUGCUUCUCUGGAUGAGUUGCGAACGGGUGAGUAACGCGUAGGUAACCUGCCUGGUAGCGGGGGAUAACUAUUGGAAACGAUAGCUAAUACCGCAUAAUAGCAGUUGUUGCAUGACAACUGUUUGAAAGGUGCAAUUGCACCACUACCAGAUGGACCUGCGUUGUAUUAGCUAGUUGGUGGGGUAACGGCUCACCAAGGCGACGAUACAUAGCCGACCUGAGAGGGUGAUCGGCCACACUGGGACUGAGACACGGCCCAGACUCCUACGGGAGGCAGCAGUAGGGAAUCUUCGGCAAUGGACGGAAGUCUGACCGAGCAACGCCGCGUGAGUGAAGAAGGUUUUCGGAUCGUAAAGCUCUGUUGUAAGAGAAGAACGAGUGUGAGAGUGGAAAGUUCACACUGUGACGGUAUCUUACCAGAAAGGGACGGCUAACUACGUG
RNAcentral lists this ribosomal RNA (495 nucleotides) under uncultured bacterium. RNAcentral describes it as "partial 16S ribosomal RNA". It matches the Rfam family "Bacterial small subunit ribosomal RNA", at positions 28 to 507 of the family's 1533-position model. The record is from RNAcentral.